Molecule: ribosomal RNA, 468 nt
Filed under: uncultured bacterium
Lineage: Bacteria
Description: partial 16S ribosomal RNA
Rfam family: Bacterial small subunit ribosomal RNA
Source: RNAcentral
GACGAACGCUGGCGGCGUGCUUAACACAUGCAAGUCGAACGGAAAGGCCCUACUUUUGUGGUGUUCUCGAGUGGCGAACGGGUGAGUAACACGUGAAUAACCUGCUCUUGACUUUGGGAUAACUUCAGGAAACUAGGCCUAAUACCGGAUAGCAUCUCCUCUUGCAUGGUAGGGGUUGGAAAUUUUCUGCGGUUGGGGAUGGACUCGCGGCUUAUCAGCUUGUUGGUGGGGUAGUGGCUUACCAAGGCUUUGACGGGUAGCCGGCCUGUGAGGGUGACCGGCGACAUUGGGACUGAGAUAGGGCGCAGACUCCUACGGGAGGCAGCAGGGGGAAAUAUUGCACAGUGGGCGGAAGCCUGAUGAAGCAACGCCGCGUGCGGGAUGACGUCCUUCGGGUUAAAAACAGCUUUCGCCUGUGACGAAGCGGGAGUGACGGUAAUGGGUAAAGAAGCACCGGCUAACUACGUG